Non-coding RNA from Camelus ferus (Wild Bactrian camel), 73 nucleotides. NCBI's taxonomy places the organism in Eukaryota, Metazoa, Chordata, Mammalia, Artiodactyla, Camelidae. The record is from Rfam.
GGAGGGUACAGCUCAGUGUUAGAGCGCAUGCUUACCACGCACAAGUUCCUGGGUUCAAUCCCCAGAACCUCCA